GUCUGGUGGGUAGUUUGACUGGGGCGGUCUCCUCCUAAAGAGUAACGGAGGAGCACGAAGGUUGGCUAAUCCUGGUCGGACAUCAGGAGGUUAGUGCAAUGGCAUAAGCCAGCUUGACUGCGAGCGUGACGGCGCGAGCAGGUGCGAAAGCAGGUCAUAGUGAUCCGGUGGUUCUGAAUGGAAGGGCCAUCGCUCAACGGAUAAAAGGUACUCCGGGGAUAACAGGCUGAUACCGCCCAAGAGUUCAUAUCGACGGCGGUGUUUGGCACCUCGAUGUCGGCUCAUCACAUCCUGGGGCUGAAGUAGGUCCCAAGGGUAUGGCUGUUCGCCAUUUAAAGUGGUACGCGAGCUGGGUUUAGAACGUCGUGAGACAGUUCGGUCCCUAUCUGCCGUGGGCGCUGGAGAACUGAGGGGGGCUGCUCCUAGUACGAGAGGACCGGAGUGGACGCAUCACUGGUGUUCGGGUUGUCAUGCCAAUGGCACUGCCCGGUAGCUAAAUGCGGAAGAGAUAAGUGCUGAAAGC
Molecule: ribosomal RNA, 523 nt
Filed under: Salmonella enterica
Lineage: Bacteria; Pseudomonadati; Pseudomonadota; Gammaproteobacteria; Enterobacterales; Enterobacteriaceae
Description: partial 23S ribosomal RNA
Rfam family: Bacterial large subunit ribosomal RNA
Source: RNAcentral